GUAAGGUUGGAAGAUGCCUUAUUUCCAUUUCUCAUUUUGAAUUUGAGAUGAAAUAUGUGUAUUAAUUGGAAGUAUGUCUAUAUGGAGCUUUGGGAAAAUGAUUGCAUCUGUGAAUACACCUGGCUCCAAAAUCAGUUGUUUUGGAAUUAGUAGGUACCAUGUGGUGCUGAUGUCUUUCUUCUCAUGUUUAGUUCUUGUUGUCACAAUUUUGCUCAAUGAUAGUCUUGUUUUUUUCCUCACUUUAUGUUCUAUUUGUGAAGAGAUCGUGAAAUUUUAUGUUUCUUUUUAACUUGUAGGAUAAAUUGGCAUAUUUUCGG
This 317-nucleotide unclassified non-coding RNA is filed under the name Hevea brasiliensis (rubber tree). The record is from RNAcentral. Lineage: Eukaryota; Viridiplantae; Streptophyta; Magnoliopsida; Malpighiales; Euphorbiaceae.